Molecule: long non-coding RNA, 310 nt
Filed under: Elaeis guineensis (African oil palm)
Lineage: Eukaryota; Viridiplantae; Streptophyta; Magnoliopsida; Arecales; Arecaceae
Description: long non-coding RNA (EGUI_LNC003288)
Source: RNAcentral
UUCUCCCCUUUUUUUUGCCUCUUUCGACCAGUAUUUUUGCUUUCUAUUUUCUUCCUUCCAAUCUGAUGAUUAGAGACCGACGAUGCUGCAAAGUCUUUGUUAAUGGUCUUCAUGUAUCAUAAUAGAACUCAAAACACCAAUUAAUCUAGAAGAUUUUUUCAAUCUUUGAUUUUGCUCGAAUCACCAACUAAGCCACAUAUUUAACAUAUGAAGACUGGGAAGAGGGUAAAUGAUCAGAAACCCAUCCUAGUCAUCUUUAUAUAUUGUCCAUACCAAACUAAUGAAUAAAUUUUUGAGGAAAACCUGUUCU